RNAcentral lists this ribosomal RNA (253 nucleotides) under uncultured bacterium. Its description in RNAcentral is "partial 16S ribosomal RNA". It matches the Rfam family "Bacterial small subunit ribosomal RNA", at positions 524 to 776 of the family's 1533-position model. The record is from RNAcentral.
GACGUAGGAUGCGAGCGUUGUCCGGAAUUAUUGGGCGUAAAGCGUACGUAGGCGGUCCAGUAAGUCUGGGGUUAAAGACCGAGGCUCAACCUCGGGAGUGCCCUGGAUACUGUUGGGCUGGAGGGUGGAAGAGGGAAGUGGAAUUCCGAGUGUAGCGGUGAAAUGCGUAGAUACUCGGAGGAACACCGGUGGCGAAAGCGACUUCCUGGUCCAUUCCUGACGCUGAGGUACGAAAGCCAGGGGAGCAAACGGG